Setomelanomma holmii is the source of this 141-nucleotide non-coding RNA. Lineage: Eukaryota; Fungi; Ascomycota; Dothideomycetes; Pleosporales; Phaeosphaeriaceae. The record is from the annotation of a GenBank genome assembly.
GCCGGUUUGGCGCAGUGGUAACGUAAGUCCACUCUGAACACAUCGAUUGUCAAUCUUCAGAUCCUAACAAGAUUUGCCAGGCGUCGCACUUGUACACGCCUAUAAAUGCGAAGAUCGCUAGUUCGAUUCUGGCAAUCGGCA